GAUGAACGCUGGCGGCGUGCCUAAUACAUGCAAGUCGAGCGAACGGACGAGAAGCUUGCUUCUCUGAUGUUAGCGGCGGACGGGUGAGUAACACGUGGAUAACCUACCUAUAAGACUGGGAUAACUUCGGGAAACCGUAGCUAAUACCGGGUAAUAUUUUGAACCGCAUGGUUCAAAAGUGAAAGACGGUCUUGCUGUCACUUAUAGAUGGAUCCGCGCUGCAUUAGCUAGUUGGUAAGGUAACGGCUUACCAAGGCAACGAUGCAUAGCCGACCUGAGAGGGUGAUCGGCCACACUGGAACUGAGACACGGUCCAGACUGCUACGGGAGGCAGCAGUAGGGAAUCUUCCGCAAUGGGCGAAAGCCUGACGGAGCAACGCCGCGUGAGUGAUGAAGGUCUUCGGAUCGUAAAACUCUGUUAUUAGGGAAGAACAUAUGUGUAAGUAACUGUGCACAUCUUGACGGUACCUAAUCAGAAAGCCACGGCUAACUACGUG
RNAcentral lists this ribosomal RNA (497 nucleotides) under uncultured bacterium. RNAcentral describes it as "partial 16S ribosomal RNA". It matches the Rfam family "Bacterial small subunit ribosomal RNA", at positions 28 to 507 of the family's 1533-position model. The record is from RNAcentral.